Molecule: ribosomal RNA, 382 nt
Filed under: uncultured bacterium
Lineage: Bacteria
Description: bacterial SSU rRNA
Rfam family: Bacterial small subunit ribosomal RNA
Source: RNAcentral
AUUGAACGCUGGCGGCGUGCUUAACACAUGCAAGUCGAGCGGCAGCGCGGGAGCAAUCCUGGCGGCGAGCGGCGAACGGGUGAGUAAUGCUUCGGAAUCUGCCCUUCAGUGGGGAAUAACCAGUCGAAAGACUGGCUAAUACCGCAUACGAACUGAGGUUGAAAGCAGGGGAUCGCAAGACCUUGCGCUGAUGGAUGAGCCGAAGUCGGAUUAGCUUGUUGGUGGGGUAAUGGCCUACCAAGGCGACGAUCCGUAGCUGGUCUGAGAGGACGACCAGCCACACUGGGACUGAGACACGGCCCAGACUCCUACGGGAGGCAGCAGUGGGGAAUAUUGGACAAUGGGGGCGAACCCUCGAUCCAGCGACGCCGCGUGUGUGAAG